RNAcentral lists this unclassified non-coding RNA (240 nucleotides) under soil metagenome. Its description in RNAcentral is "partial contains 5.8S ribosomal RNA, internal transcribed spacer 2, and large subunit ribosomal RNA". The record is from RNAcentral.
AACCAUAGAAACCUGCGGAGUACCUGCGGAGGGAUCAUUACAGAGUUGCAAAACUCCCUAAACCAUUGUGAACGUUACCUAAACCGUUGCUUCGGCGGGCGGCCCGGGUCCUUCCCGGCGCCCAUCGGCCCUCGCGGGCGCCCGCCGGAGGUAAACCAAACUAUUGCAUUGUAUGGCCUCUCUGAGUCCUCUGUACUGAAUAAGUCAAAACUUUCAACAAUGGAUCUCAGAUCGGAAGAG